GACCCUCUUUGUUGCAUUCUGGAUUGCCUUAUGCAAGGAACAGUCAAUGCCAGGUCCAUCUCCCUUCAAAACUCUCUGAAAUCAAGUGAUAUUGGGUCUCUGAGCCCAAGCCAAGGCACUGCAUCCCCUGUGACUUGCACGUAUAUGCCCAGAUGGCCUGAAGUAACUGAAGAAUCACAAAAGAAGUGCAAAUGUCCUGCCUCGCCUUAACCGAUGACAUUCCACCACAAAAGAAGUGAAAAUGGCUGGUCCUUGCCUUAAGCGAUGAUAUUAUCUUGUGAAAUUCCUUUUCCCGGCUCAUCCUGGCUCAGAAAGCUCCCCCACUGAGCACUUUGUGACCCCCACUCCUGCCCGCCAGAGAACAACCCCCCUUUGACUGUAAUUUUCCUUUACCUACCCAAAUCCUAUAAAACGGCCCCACCCUUAUCUCCCUUCGCUGACUCUCUUUUCGGACUCAGCCCGCCUGCACCCAGGUGAAAUAAACAGCCAUGUUGCUCACACAAAGCCUGUUUGGUGGUCUCUUCACACGGACGCGCAUGACACCUUCUACAUCCUAAACAUGGUUAUACCCACAGCUUUCCUCUUCAAGGCAGAUAAUUCCCUCCCCAGCCCCAGCUUACAGCAUUCCACCUUCAGGUCCCUUUAACCUGGCCUCAUCCCAGGUGUCAGGAGCCUCAGGGUGGAGCCUGACUUUGCCAGCUAGAGUGGGAGGCUAAGGAAGGUUGAUAAGCUGUUGUAGUUAUCCAUGGCUUGGGCUUCUCUCAAGAUUGCCAAGAGCUUCAGUUUUGUCCCCUGGUUUGGCAACAGGAAGUCAGCACAGGAUCUUAUCAUUGGCCAAGCUCAUUGAAUGAAUGACAGUGAAUGACAAUGCAAUUGGCAGCAGCUGGGGGUAGGUGGAAAAAUAAGAGGAGGGCAGUGAAGAGAGGUGGAGAAAGCCCUGAGCUGGGAGGUAGGACACCUGAGAUCAAACAACCCCACCCCACGUAGUCUUGAGCAUGGCACUCUCCACUGCCUUUUUGGGCUACAGUGGAGUCUCAAAGUCUUUGAAAUAUGUACCUCUCUUGAAAUUCUUUGUUCCUUGUCUCUCUUCCCUGUGAAGUGGCAAAUAUCAGAAGGGCAGCAAUAAGCUUGAUCUCAGUCACUGUUCUACCUCCAGUACCAAGUACACACAAUCAGCAUUUGAUAAAUAUGCAGCGAACAAGAGAAUCAACAGAGGAAUACUUGAAAGGAAGGAACAGGAACAUGUUUGGUAAUUUGUAAAGAACUGUGCACACCCAAGGGAGCCCUCUUAUGGAAGCAUAGUGGACCAAAGGCAGGAACAAGAAGUCAGGCUCUUAGGCUCUUCUUCUUGAGACAGCCAAGCAGAGACUGUCUACUCAGAGUGCCUUGGCCAGGCCAGCUCUUACUUCCAAACUUGGUGUUGGUCAGUGCUCUCUACAAGGGAGUCACCUGCAUUCCCUGUGAUCAGAGUUCAUGUCCAACAGUCAGCCACCGUGGGGCCCAGAAGGAAGGAGAGGCUGAAGCCUGUGGCAGCCCCAUCUACAGUUGCAUGCUUUGAGGACAAGCCGCCACUAUGGAUCUAGGGCUCCAAGGUCAACACACAUUUGUACUGCUUCCUGGAAUCCUGGCAUUUUUCUUUUAGAAUAAUGGGAGAGUGUGUGUUAAAUGUGAGGAGGAGCCAGGAGAAGAAUGCUGCUGUUCAACCCCUCCCCAGAUGGGCCAAGACAGCAUGUCUG
Molecule: long non-coding RNA, 1736 nt
Filed under: Papio anubis (olive baboon)
Lineage: Eukaryota; Metazoa; Chordata; Mammalia; Primates; Cercopithecidae
Description: lncRNA (ENSPANG00000037970.1)
Source: RNAcentral